Molecule: ribosomal RNA, 997 nt
Filed under: Faecalibacterium prausnitzii
Lineage: Bacteria; Bacillati; Bacillota; Clostridia; Eubacteriales; Oscillospiraceae
Description: bacterial SSU rRNA
Rfam family: Bacterial small subunit ribosomal RNA
Source: RNAcentral
CCCAGACUCCUACGGGAGGCAGCAGUGGGGAAUAUUGCACAAUGGGGGAAACCCUGAUGCAGCGACGCCGCGUGGAGGAAGAAGGUCUUCGGAUUGUAAACUCCUGUUGUUGAGGAAGAUAAUGACGGUACUCAACAAGGAAGUGACGGCUAACUACGUGCCAGCAGCCGCGGUAAAACGUAGGUCACAAGCGUUGUCCGGAAUUACUGGGUGUAAAGGGAGCGCAGGCGGGCGAUCAAGUUGGAAGUGAAAUCCAUGGGCUCAACCCAUGAACUGCUUUCAAAACUGAUUGUCUUGAGUAGUGCAGAGGUAGGCGGAAUUCCCGGUGUAGCGGUGGAAUGCGUAGAUAUCGGGAGGAACACCAGUGGCGAAGGCGGCCUACUGGGCACCAACUGACGCUGAGGCUCGAAAGUGUGGGUAGCAAACAGGAUUAGAUACCCUGGUAGUCCACACCGUAAACGAUGAUUACUAGGUGUUGGAGGAUUGACCCCUUCAGUGCCGCAGUUAACACAAUAAGUAAUCCACCUGGGGAGUACGACCGCAAGGUUGAAACUCAAAGGAAUUGACGGGGGCCCGCACAAGCAGUGGAGUAUGUGGUUUAAUUCGACGCAACGCGAAGAACCUUACCAAGUCUUGACAUCCUGCGACGAUGCUAGAAAUAGUAUUUUCCUUCGGGACGCAGAGACAGGUGGUGCAUGGUUGUCGUCAGCUCGUGUCGUGAGAUGUUGGGUUAAGUCCCGCAACGAGCGCAACCCUUAUGGUCAGUUACUACGCAAGAGGACUCUGGCCAGACUGCCGUUGACAAAACGGAGGAAGGUGGGGAUGACGUCAAAUCAUCAUGCCCUUUAUGACUUGGGCUACACACGUACUACAAUGGCGUUAAACAAAGAGAAGCAAGACCGCGAGGUGGAGCAAAACUCAGAAACAACGUCCCAGUUCGGACUGCAGGCUGCAACUCGCCUGCACGAAGUCGGAAUUGCUAGUAAUCGCAGAUCAG